GAUGAACGCUGGCGGCGUGCCUAAUACAUGCAAGUCGAGCGAAUGGAUUAAGAGCUUGCUCUUAUGAAGUUAGCGGCGGACGGGUGAGUAACACGUGGGUAACCUGCCCAUAAGACUGGGAUAACUCCGGGAAACCGGGGCUAAUACCGGAUAACAUUUUGAACCGCAUGGUUCGAAAUUGAAAGGCGGCUUCGGCUGUCACUUAUCGAUGGACCCGCGUCGCAUUAGCUAGUGGGUGAGGUAACGGCUAACCAAGGCAACGAUGCGUAGCCGACCUGAGAGGGUGAUCGGCCACACUGGGACUGAGACACGGCCCAGACUCCUACGGGAGGCAGCAGUAGGGAAUCUUCCGCAAUGGACGAAAGUCUGACGGAGCAACGCCGCGUGAGUGAUGAAGGCUUUCGGGUCGUAAAACUCUGUUGUUAGGGAAGAACAAGUGCUAGUUGAAUAAGCUGGCACCUUGACGGUACCUAACCAGAAAGCCACGGCUAACUACGUGCCAGCAGCCGCCGUAA
This 515-nucleotide ribosomal RNA is filed under the name uncultured bacterium. RNAcentral's name for it is "partial 16S ribosomal RNA". It matches the Rfam family "Bacterial small subunit ribosomal RNA", at positions 28 to 523 of the family's 1533-position model. The record is from RNAcentral.